AUUGAACGCUGGCGGCAGGCCUAACACAUGCAAGUCGGACGGUAGCACAGAGAGCUUGCUCUCGGGUGACGAGUGGCGGACGGGUGAGUAAUGUCUGGGGAUCUGCCCGAUAGAGGGGGAUAACCACUGGAAACGGUGGCUAAUGCCGCAUAACGUCGCAAGACCAAAGAGGGGGACCUUCGGGCCUCUCACUAUCGGAUGAACCCAGAUGGGAUUAGCUAGUAGGCGGGGUAACGGCCCACCUAGGCGACGAUCCCUAGCUGGUCUGAGAGGAUGACCAGCCACACUGGAACUGAGACACGGUCCAGACUCCUACGGGAGGCAGCAGUGGGGAAUAUUGCACAAUGGGCGCAAGCCUGAUGCAGCCAUGCCGCGUGUAUGAAGAAGGCCUUCGGGUUGUAAAGUACUUUCAGCGGAGAGGAAGGCGAUGUGGUUAAUAACCGCGUCGAUUGACGUUACCCGCAGAAGAAGCACCGGCUAACUCCGUGCCAGCAGCCGCCGUAA
Molecule: ribosomal RNA, 504 nt
Filed under: uncultured bacterium
Lineage: Bacteria
Description: partial 16S ribosomal RNA
Rfam family: Bacterial small subunit ribosomal RNA
Source: RNAcentral